UGUCCUUUAAAUAAGGACCUGUAUGAAUGGCCACAUGAGAAAGAAACUGUCUCUUUAGGCCAGUCAGUGAAAUUGAUCCCCCUGUACAAAAGCAGGAAUGACAAAGCAAGACAAAAAGACCCUGUGAAACUUAAAAUUAAUUGUCAACCUAUGACAGACACUUUUAGUUGGGGCAACUAUAGAGAAACAAAACCUCAAACCACAUCAUCAAGACCAACAAGUCUAAAUGAAUAUACCACACCGACCCAGUACAACUGAUUAAAGAACCAAGCUACUCCAGGGAUAACAGCGCCACAUUCUUGAAGAGUCCAUAUCAACAAGAAUACCUACGACCUCGAUGUUGGAUCAGGAUAACCUGAUGGUGCAGAAGCUAUCAAGGGUUCGUUUGUUCAACGAUUAAUAAU
Molecule: ribosomal RNA, 404 nt
Filed under: Pogona vitticeps (central bearded dragon)
Lineage: Eukaryota; Metazoa; Chordata; Lepidosauria; Squamata; Agamidae
Description: 16S rRNA
Rfam family: Bacterial large subunit ribosomal RNA
Source: RNAcentral